CCUACGGGCGACAGCAGUGAGGAAUAUUGGUCAAUGGCCGGAAGGCUGAACCAGCCAUGCCGCGUGAAGGGCAGGGGCCUAGGGGCGGUAAACUUCUUUUGGGCGGGAGCAAGAAUGGUCACGUGGGGCCAGACGAGAGGACCGUACGAAUAAGCAGCGGCGAACUCCGUGCCAGCAGCCGCGGUAAGACGGGGGAUGCAAGCGGUCUCCGGAUUUCUGGGGGGUAAAGGGUGCGUAGGCUGUGAGGGAAGUCAGCGGUGAAAUGCCCCCGCUCAACGGGGUGAAGGGCCAUUGAUACUGCCUUGCUGGACUGCGGCUGCCGUGGGCGGCAUG
Molecule: ribosomal RNA, 333 nt
Filed under: uncultured bacterium
Lineage: Bacteria
Description: partial 16S ribosomal RNA
Rfam family: Bacterial small subunit ribosomal RNA
Source: RNAcentral